This 467-nucleotide ribosomal RNA is filed under the name uncultured bacterium. Its description in RNAcentral is "partial 16S ribosomal RNA". It matches the Rfam family "Bacterial small subunit ribosomal RNA", at positions 29 to 507 of the family's 1533-position model. The record is from RNAcentral.
ACGAACGCUGGCGGCGUGCUUAACACAUGCAAGUCGAACGGAAAGGCCCUGCUUUUGUGGGGUGCUCGAGUGGCGAACGGGUGAGUAACACGUGAGUAACCUGCCCUUGACUUUGGGAUAACUUCAGGAAACUGGGGCUAAUACCGGAUAGGAGCUCCUGCUGCAUGGUGGGGGUUGGAAAGUUUCGGCGGUUGGGGAUGGACUCGCGGCUUAUCAGCUUGUUGGUGGGGUAGUGGCUUACCAAGGCUUUGACGGGUAGCCAGCCUGAGAGGGUGACCGGCAAAAUUGGGACUGAGAUACGGCCCAGACUCCUACGGGAGGCAGCAGUGGGGAAUAUUGCACAAUGGGCGGAAGCCUGAUGCAGCAACGCCGCGUGCGGGAUGACGGCCUUCGGGUUGUAAACCGCUUUCGCCUGUGACGAAGCGUGAGUGACGGUAAUGGGUAAAGAAGCACCGGCUAACUACGUG